Molecule: long non-coding RNA, 1133 nt
Filed under: Homo sapiens (human)
Lineage: Eukaryota; Metazoa; Chordata; Mammalia; Primates; Hominidae
Description: HSALNT0174695
Source: RNAcentral
UCCAAUGGGCUGCCACCUCUGGCAAAUGGCUGAUGCCUCCUGCAUGAAAUCAGGGGACUGACCUGGGUGGCAUCUGCAGGUGCAGCCUUCGUGGUACCUCUCUGAAUGGCCUGGGCUGGGGCUGGCUGGCCAGUGGGAGGUGGAGAGGGCAACCCAGGACAGAGGCCCUGUGAGGCAGGGCCAGGACUUGAAGUCUGGUGCUGACAACUUCUCUAAGAGGAGGGUGGACCCCACCGCCCCAGCUUCCUGCUGGGCCCCAAGGCUCCGGAGACUCAGGAAGUCUUCCAACCCAUCUUCCGAACCUAAGCAACCAGAAUGCGAGACCCCUGCACCGUCCACUUGGGAUUGUUGAGGCCAAUGCCUUCAUGAUAGAGAAUCAGUACCUGAGAGUCAAACGGAAAGACUAUUAGAAAUGUUCCGCACAGCUGCUUCCCCCAGCCAUUCUCCUGAGCUUCAUUUUUCUUUAAAAAUAUAUUAAAAAGAGCUUCACUCCAGAGAGGCUGUCAAGGAAUCUGGUAAAACAAGGGUCCCUUUCAGUUCUUCUCUUGAAAGGGGAUAUUUUUUCUGCUUUCUCUCCAAGGUUUCCCAGAGGGUCGGAUUUCCUUUUCUUUCAGAGGUAGGAGCUGAGCCACGCCUGCAGACACCUGCUCCUCAGCUUUGGAGAUAAUCGCGGGGUGAUCAGCUCUGCAAAGGGCCUCACAGCUGCUGGGCCUGAACCAAAAGGGCCUCAAGGGAGAAGCUUUGAGGGGAAUGUGGGAGGGGGAGAGCAAGGGCGUCCCCUUUUGGGGAGAGACCCAGGUGUGAAUCACUGAUCCAACAUUUACUAGGCCUCUUGCCUGGGAAAAGACUUUGAGCUGCCUCUGUGCCUCCCUGGCCAGGCUAUGGGGAGGUCUUGCACAAGGUUUGGUAGCCAAAGGGGAGAAGUUGGGCCUCAGCCCCUGCCCUCUCAGAGGCCCAGCCCAGGGACAGAAUCCACCAAUCGCAACAACCACUCAUGUCUCAAGAUUCCUCAGUCCACUUAGCCAAGAGUGUCCCUGACUCUGCCCUUCACCUGCGUUCCGGGCAGUGCUCGUGCCCUGACUUGCUGGGUGUCUUUAGGAAUGACCCUGGCCCUCCUGACACUCCAAGUUCUC